AUUGAACGCUGGCGGCAGGCCUAACACAUGCAAGUCGAGCGGUAGCACAGGAGAGCUUGCUCUCUGGGUGACGAGCGGCGGACGGGUGAGUAAUGUCUGGGAAACUGCCUGAUGGAGGGGGAUAACUACUGGAAACGGUAGCUAAUACCGCAUAACGUCUUCGGACCAAAGUGGGGGACCUUCGGGCCUCACGCCAUCAGAUGUGCCCAGAUGGGAUUAGCUAGUAGGUGGGGUAAUGGCUCACCUAGGCAACGAUCCCUAGCUGGUCUGAGAGGAUGACCAGCCACACUGGAACUGAGACACGGUCCAGACUCCUACGGGAGGCAGCAGUGGGGAAUAUUGCACAAUGGGCGCAAGCCUGAUGCAGCCAUGCCGCGUGUGUGAAGAAGGCCUUCGGGUUGUAAAGCACUCUCAGCGAGGAGGAAGGGUUCAGUGUUAAUAGCACUGUUCAUUGACGUUACUCGCAGAAGAAGCACCGGCUAACUCCGUGCCAGCAGCCGCGGUAAUACGGAGGGUGCAAGCGUUAAUCGGAAUUACUGGGCGUAAAGCGCACGCAGGCGGUUUGUUAAGUCAGAUGUGAAAUCCCCGCGCUUAACGUGGGAACUGCAUUUGAAACUGGCAAGCUAGAGUCUUGUAGAGGGGGGUAGAAUUCCAGGUGUAGCGGUGAAAUGCGUAGAGAUCUGGAGGAAUACCGGUGGCGAAGGCGGCCCCCUGGACAAAGACUGACGCUCAGGUGCGAAAGCGUGGGGAGCAAACAGG
Molecule: ribosomal RNA, 759 nt
Filed under: uncultured Enterobacteriaceae bacterium
Lineage: Bacteria; Pseudomonadati; Pseudomonadota; Gammaproteobacteria; Enterobacterales; Enterobacteriaceae
Description: bacterial SSU rRNA
Rfam family: Bacterial small subunit ribosomal RNA
Source: RNAcentral